UUUGUCCUACGGGACGCAGCAGUUAGGAAUAUUGGGCAAUGGAGGAAACUCUGACCCAGCAACGCCGCGUGAAGGAAGAAGGUUUUCGGAUUGUAAACUUCUGAUCUGAGUGAAAAAGAAAGUGAUGGUAGCUCAGGAGAAAGCCACGGCUAACUACAUGCCAGCAGCCGCGGUAAUACGUAGGUGGCGAGCGUUGUCCGGAAUAACUGGGCGUAAAGGGAGCGUAGGUUGCGAUUUAAGUUAGAUGUGAAAGCCCAGGGCUCAACCCUGGAACUGCAUUUAAAACUGGAUUGCUAGAGUACAGG
RNAcentral lists this ribosomal RNA (305 nucleotides) under uncultured bacterium. Its description in RNAcentral is "bacterial SSU rRNA". It matches the Rfam family "Bacterial small subunit ribosomal RNA", at positions 333 to 652 of the family's 1533-position model. The record is from RNAcentral.